AGGCGGCCCCGGGCGCCAACUUUCAAAAGCGGGCGCGAUGGCGUCACGGGACGCGCCGCGAGUCGCGUCGUCACGCCGCACGCGCCCUCGCCGGGUCGCUCGUGGGCUCUGCCGGCGCCGCGGCGUCCUGGCUCCCGCUGGGUGGGGCUUCCUGGGCGGAGGCCGCCGCCCCUGGGCGGUGCCGGAUCCAGUCCGCUUGACCUUAUUCCCUAGCUGCUGUCUCCGGCCCCCUGAACCCGUACAGGGUUGGGGAAGUGGGGGUGGCUGGAGGAAGCGCGCGCGGGGCAAGCCAGUGGGGCUGAGGAGGCUCCCGGGCCCGGCCCCGCCCAGUCUCCGCCCCAGCCAGGCCCGACCCGCCCUCCGAAUGUCUUACAGCUGCCCGCCCCAGAGUAAGGCCCGGUCGGUUCCCGCGCGCUCCCAGCUCCGUGCCCGCGAGCGACGACUGGAAGGGCUGUCCUUGCUCAGCGGCUUUUGGUGAUCUCUCCGCCCUAGAAGAGGGCCACCUAAAAGCGGGUGCGAGAGGAGAGUGGGAGGGCCUCCUCUUGGUGUCCCCAGGCCACCUCAGCCCGGAGAGGUGGCGGAAAACCAGACUUGAUGCUUUAACACGUUCAUAGCAAUCGCUUUUUACUGAAAGGAGUUUCUGUAUUUAGCGCUGUGUAAUUCUGUGGAAACGUGCAUUUCUUGUCUUUGCGGGAGAGCUGUUCUCUGUGGGCGGAGACCUUCAGUCCCACCCCUCCCCAGGAGGCGCCUGCGGACCCUUCCCAACCUGCAGUCAAGUUGACCAAGAACUGACUGCAAGGUGCUGGUGGCUCUGGGAUGAGAGCCUUUUGGUACUUACAGGGAAUAUGACUCUUCCCUUAGAUAUCAAAUGGACCCAAUAUCUAGGGAGCAGCUUCUUCUCCAUCCAUCUGACCGUUCCGUUGUGAGAAUGCUGGCCCAAUAACAUACUCUUUUUUUUUCCCCUAAAGGAAUAAAAAAAUCUGUAUUUUUAAGAUGUCAAAUCUCCAGAGUUUUUAGAUGUUAGCAACUGAAUCAGAUGUUUUUAAACUUCAUGAGCUGAUUAAACCACACAGAUGAGCUGUCAGUUUACGACCCCUGGCUUGGCUUGGAGGAAAGAGUGAAGAGAAAUUCCAUGGCCAAAUCCUGGGGCACUCCAAUAUUGGGAGGGUAAUGGAGAAGGAGUCUGAAAGGCAGCAUCUAGGAAGUCAUGAAAGCUAGCGCUGAGUUGUGGAAUCCCUGGGCAGAGAAGGUUUCAGGUAGGAGGCAUCAGCUGAGCGGUGUGAUAAACUUGGGCCAGAGAUGUGGCUAUUGGAUUGGGUCACCUUGCAAGUCACUGGAGAAUGUCACUGAUGGCCUUGGCUUGAUUCACGUGAGUAUAUCAGGGAGGUGGACCUGACCGGAAUGGGUUAAACAGUCACCAGGAAAGUGAGGAAAUGGAGACAGCACAUGUAUGCAAUUUGAGAGAGGUUUUGCUGUGAAGGGACCAGAUAAGUUUGGGGAUAGAUAUAGAAAGAAAUCUUUUAAAAGAUAGUAGGGGCCGGGCGCAGUGGCUCACGCCUGUUAUCCUAGCACUUUGGGAGGCCAAGGCAGGUGGAUCACCUGAGGUCAGGAGUUCGAGACCAGCCUGGCCAAUAUGGUGAAACCCGGUCUCUACUAAAAAUACAAAAAUUAGUUGGGCAUGGUAUCGCGCGCCUGUAAUCCAAGCUACUGGGGAGGCUGAGGCAGGAGAAUUGCUUGAACCCGGGAGGCAGAGGUUGCAGAGAGCCAAGAUUGGGCCACAGCACUCCAGCCUGGGCAACAAAGCGGGACUCCAUCUCAAAAAAUAAUAAUAAAUAAAAUAAAAGAUGGUAGGGUUCCCAGAGCAUGUUUAUGUGCCAUUGGGAGGGAUAUGGUGGGGAAGAAAGAUGGGUGAUCCAGGAGAGAGGAGGCUUGCUUGACCUAUAUAGGAGUGAAAUCCAUCAGAAGAUAUAAGGAAACAGGGAGGGUUGACCUUGGAGAGGAACAGGGAUGCUUCCAUUCAUGAUAAGGGCAACAAAGGUGAAGACAGAUGCAAGUGCAGGGGAGAGGGAAGGCAAGUCCUUAACAGGAUUGCCUUGGUGGCAUUGGGUACUCAUCUGAGGUUUGUGAUCAUGAUGUUAAAGGUAAACCAGUUGGCCCAGUGUGUUGGUUUUUCUCCAACAUUCAGCUGCUUGGGUACAGACAUGAAGAAAAGGGAUAGUACAGCUUCUCAACACCAGGACCCAAUUUUU
RNAcentral lists this long non-coding RNA (2249 nucleotides) under Homo sapiens (human). RNAcentral's name for it is "non-protein coding lnc-AGRP-1:12". The record is from RNAcentral. Lineage: Eukaryota; Metazoa; Chordata; Mammalia; Primates; Hominidae.